UUAUUGUGCUGUCCAGUUCUUUCUGUCCUGCAGAGCCCCAGAAACACCAGAAACACCUUUGUUUUACUUUGGAGUGUUCUUUGAGUGCUUYCUUUUGUGCUCCAGCUCUUUCUGGGCCCUUUGACCUUGGUAGGACCCCUGUAGUCUCUGCAGACCCCCUUCCUGAGGCCUCAGUUCUGCUCCAGAACCCUCUGUCUGUUCUCUGACCUCAAAAGAAAGAGCAGCAGAGAAGCAACGCAUGUGCAGAUGCAGAGCAGUGUUCUGAGCAGACCCUGGAGAGAUGGAGG
Molecule: long non-coding RNA, 287 nt
Organism: Nothoprocta perdicaria
Lineage: Eukaryota; Metazoa; Chordata; Aves; Tinamiformes; Tinamidae
Exons: 2
Source: RefSeq, a predicted model, not a curated record